UACGUAGGUGACAAGCGUUAUCCGGAAUUACUGGGCGUAAAGCGCACGCAGGCGGCGCGGUAAGUCUGAUGUGAAAUCUCCCGGCUUAACUGGGAGGGGUCAUUGGAAACUGCCGAGCUUGAGGCGAUGAGAGGGGUGUAGAAUUCCCGGUGUAGUGGUGGAAUGCGUAGAUAUCGGGAGGAAUACCAGUGGCGAAGGCGACUACCUGGCCUGUUUCUUGACGCUGAGGCGCGAAAGCUAGGGGAGCAAACGGG
This 254-nucleotide ribosomal RNA is filed under the name uncultured bacterium. Its description in RNAcentral is "partial 16S ribosomal RNA". It matches the Rfam family "Bacterial small subunit ribosomal RNA", at positions 524 to 776 of the family's 1533-position model. The record is from RNAcentral.